This 1400-nucleotide long non-coding RNA is filed under the name Gallus gallus (chicken). RNAcentral's name for it is "lncRNA (ENSGALG00010018409.1)". The record is from RNAcentral. Lineage: Eukaryota; Metazoa; Chordata; Aves; Galliformes; Phasianidae.
CGAAAGUAGUUGCCUGAAAACAAGCUCACAGUGGAUUUAAGCCACUUCCUGGGUAGUUUGAGCUUGUUUGUUUUUCACAUGCAUCAGAUCUACAUGGACAUGUCUCAGCAGACGGGUGGAGCACUUCAUCAUCCACUUCUCCACAGACCAUGUUUUCACGAGGUCAAGCUAUGAAGUGACCACCUGACUGAUGCACACAAGAAAUGGAGGGCAGCAAGCCUGCACGAGAUGGCCCCAUCAAAAAUGAACCACAUAUGCAAAGCCAGCAUGUACAUUAAGUUCGCGCUGACAAGCUGCAGCUGGUUUCAGGUGAAAAAUUCUCUGAGAGCCUGAAGAAAAAACUGCAACCUUUGACCAUCUUACUUGUUUGAUAUUAUGGCCCUUUCCAUGGCAACAGAUUGUGAUGUCAUGCAUGGACAGAUUAUGAGGUCAAAAAUUGCCCAGGAUGGAGCCAGGGGAGGAUGUAGGAAAGAUUCUGGAACUACGUAAAUAUAUUUCAAAGUAUUCAAAAGAAGUGGAAAACACACUUACAUUAAAGGUAUCAAAAGCAUCAAACCACAAGGAAGGUGCUUAUCAUAAACUCAGAUUACAAAUGGCAAAAUCAAGGCACAGGAUAUUUUUUCUGCUUUGCACAGGAAAAAAUGCUUUCAACAAUUUGAAAAUAAUCUUCCACGUGUAUAGCAAACCAAGACUCUGUUCUACCCAUUUACAGAAGGAGAUAUUAAUACAAAUGAAGAGUGAAUCUGAAUGAAGAGACCUUGCAAUGAGGCCAUCUCAAGGCUAUCAAGACCACAAUGCAGUUUCUCAAAUUCCCUGAAGCAGAAAUGCUGCCUACUUCUCUGCAUUUUUCCUUUGUGUAAGGGUCUUAUGCCUGUCACUUGCUAAGGUGAAGAAGAGUCUGUGAACUACUAACAUCAGAUUCCACCUCUGACCUUUUUUCCAGGGUUUUCUUGUCUCCAAAUCUACCACUGUGGCAGAAAGUCCUAAUGCUACUCCCAAUCAUCUUCAUGUACACCAUACUCUCUUGGAAAUUUGAUUCACAGAAAUGAUAAGAUACGCUGGUGUCUUUACCAGGAGGAUCUUCCAACAGAGCAACAUAGAUGAAUAGAGCCAGCAUGGGGGACAGUACUGACAAAGCACUUACUUUGUCUCCAUAUUGGAUGCUGAGGCAUCUAGUAUUUCUAAUUUAGCAUUUUUGCCAGGAACUUUGAAUCCAAACUCCACUUUCAACAUAUACAUGUAAAUAAUUGUCAGGUUAUAUUCAUGAAAACAAGACCAAAACUUAGACCACAGAUUUUCCAGGGAAAAAUGAGUGCUGCAUUUCUGGCAAUUAGGAGCAGUAAAGUAAACAUUUAGUCACCAUUGACUCAUGAGCCGAAAAACACAGUAGUCAAUUACAG